RNAcentral lists this unclassified non-coding RNA (2108 nucleotides) under Octopus sinensis (East Asian common octopus). RNAcentral describes it as "zinc finger protein OZF-like, transcript variant X3". The record is from RNAcentral. Lineage: Eukaryota; Metazoa; Mollusca; Cephalopoda; Octopoda; Octopodidae.
AAUUCUAGCAAACAUUUUAUCAGAUAUUCCAGUGGUAUGGCUUUUAUGUUAACAUCACACUUCUACCAUAGAAUGUUUUACAACAGACAUCACAGAUGUGACUGGAUAAUUUGAGAAACGCCAAAUUACAACUCGCAGACGAUAAAUCUGGAAAAUAAAAAUAAAUAAAUCUCUAUUGAUUAGAGGUAAGUUUUUACCACACAAUCCAAUGUCACUUCCGGUAUGUCAACCCCCACACCUCAAUAAAUAUGUAAACAUUGCAGUUAUAUUAUUUCUAAUAAACUUAUGAGAUUUUUCAUUAACCAGAAGACAAUAGAGAUAUUUUGUAAGAAAAGUUGAAAGUUCUGCUCAUCAAUUUCAAGUCUCACUAUUCGGUACGUUUCUCUUUAAUUUAUCUUAAAACUAAGUAGUUAUGAUACCUGAUGGCAUUGAGAUAAGAAUAUAUCACUGAAAGAUUAGAGAAUCAAAUUUUGAAGACUAGAAAUAUAUUCAUCAAGCUAAUGUCAGCCUUCAGUUUAAUGGAUGUAAAAUAUUUCCUUGGAGUUGGCAUUAUUUGUGAAAGUACACAAAUGUUUAUUGGAAAAUAUUUCUUAGUAGAUGAGACAUCAUCAGACUUUGGUAAAGGCCAUCAGAGUGGGAAAGUAAAUAUAGAUAUAGAUAUAUUUCUAUUAUGAAUAUACAAAGAAAACAGUAAAUUUAAAGAGAAAGUCAUGGAGGAGAAAUUAUGUGAUAACCUGGUUAUGAGUAGAACAGAAACUGAAACUAUUGAUAUAUUUGAUCAGAUACAGGAAAAUACAGAAGAGAAAUCACUCUGUUGUGACAUCUGUGGGAAGUUAUUUACAGUAGAAAAUAGUUUAAAUCAGCAUAAAUUAAUUCACUCAGUGUUAAAGCAAUACCAUUGUGAGGUUUGUGGUAAAAUAUUCACUACAAGCAAUGUAUUAUUGCACCAUAUACGUAUUCAUACUGAAGAGAGGCCAUACCACUGUGACAGCUGUGGUAAAACAUUCUCUCAAAGGGGUCAUUUAUCUGAACACAGGCGAAUUCACACUGGAGAAAAAACUUACCAUUGUGAUAUAUGUGGUGAAACAUUUUCUAGAAAUUCACAUUUCUCUCAACACAAGCACACUCAUACUGGUGAGAAACCAUAUCACUGUGAUAUUUGUGGCAAAACAUUCUCUCAAAAGGGCCAUUUAUCUCGUCAUACAUAUAUUCACACAGGAGAAAGACCAUAUCAGUGUGAUACCUGUGGUAAAACAUUUUGUCAGAGAGGUUAUUUAUCUGAACAUAAGUGUAUUCACACAGGGGAGAAACCUUAUGGUUGUGAUGUUUGUGGUGAAAAAUUUUCUAGAAGUUCUCAUUUGUACCGACACAAAUGUAUUCACACAGGAGAGAAACCAUAUCAGUGUGAUAGCUGUGGUAAAACAUUCUCUGAAAGUGGUCAUUUAUCUCAACACAAAUAUAUUCAUACUGGAGAGAGGCCAUACCCCUGUGCUAUCUGUGGCAAAACAUUUGCUAGAAGUAGUAAUUUAUAUUCCCAUAAACGCAUCCACUCAGGAGGGAAACCAUAUGAUUGCAACAUCUGUGGCAAAACGUUCUCCCAAACUGGCUGCUUAUCUUCUCACAAACGUAUCCAUAUCGGAGAGAAACCAUAUCACUGUGAUAUCUGUGGUGAGACAUUUUCUAGAAUUGGCCAUUUGUCUUGCCACAGACAUAUUCACACAGGAGAGAAACCAUACCACUGUGAUAUCUGUGGUAAAACAUUUUCUCAAAGAGGUCAUUUAUCAUGCCAUAAAUAUAUUCAUACAAGAGAAAAACCAUACCAUUGUGAUAUAUGUGGUAAAGCAUUUUCCAAAAGUGUUAAUUUAUCUUCCCACAAACGCAUCCACACAGGCGAAAAACCAUACUGCUGUGAUAUCUGUGGUAAAACAAUUUUUCAAAGAUCUAAUUUGUCUUCACAUAGACAUACUCACUCAAAGAAGAAACCCCAUCAAUGAUAUUCUUUUGGUCAUUUAACUGUAGCCAUGCUGGAGCACUGCCUUUAGUUGAGAAAAUCGAUCCCAGGACUUAUUCUUUUAAAGCCUGGUACUUAUUCUAUCGGUCUCUUUUGC